AAAAAUGUAUGAAAUCCUCGAAAACGUUGUCACCGCUUUAAUUAAUACACAUCUGUUGCAAUACAAUGUCUUUUUAGCUUUACAGAAAUAUGUUAUUGUCAAUAGUCCACUAAACUUAAACACAAGGCUGCAUAUACAUGUUUCAUAUGCAUGAUAUUUCAUUGUAUUUAUGAUAUGCAAAUAAAAAAAUAUUUUCCUAUAAUACUAAGAUUACAGUAGCUGUAUUAAAAAAAAUAUAAAUCUAGC
RNAcentral lists this long non-coding RNA (246 nucleotides) under Mytilus galloprovincialis (Mediterranean mussel). The record is from RNAcentral. Lineage: Eukaryota; Metazoa; Mollusca; Bivalvia; Mytilida; Mytilidae.